Long non-coding RNA from Hemicordylus capensis (graceful crag lizard), 4930 nucleotides. RefSeq lists it as uncharacterized. The record is from RefSeq and is a predicted model, not a curated record. The transcript has 8 exons. Lineage: Eukaryota; Metazoa; Chordata; Lepidosauria; Squamata; Cordylidae.
CAAGCAAGCAAGGAAGGAGGCAGGCAGAGUGGCCCCCACAGCUCUCUGCAGCAGACCCUCUGCCCAGCCCAGCAUUUGCCAGUUUUUGUAGGGGAAGACUGGCAGUUCAGUCCGCAAAUAGCAGAGCAAAACCAGUUUGGUGAGAAAGCAGCAAAACGAGGUCUUGAGACAGUUCUUUAGUACUGAAGAACUACAAGGAUUUAUUUAAAGAAAAGGUUACAAACAAAUGUGAAAAAGCCUGCAGCUUAUUUCAGCUGUAGCUCAUGGGUGAAGAGAGAGACCAAAAUGAACAGCCAUCUCUGGAGAGACAAAAUGGAGACUAACACUGGAAGAACAAAGGGAAGGGCGGUAUAUAAAUUGAAUAAAGAAAUAAAACGUGUGCAAAAGAAGGUGUAUAUAAAUCUGCUCCCACCAUUCAACUGAAUGGUGAAAUCCUUGUGAAUGAGAGAGACUCUGUGGAGUGAAAAGAUUACCUGCAUCUUUGCUUUUAGAAGUUCAGCUACUACAUUCACAGAAGUCAUCGUCUCAGAGUUUCCUCCUCUGGAGAAAUUUAACCUGACACAGCACUGUCCGAACUGAAAUCCAUAUGUUUUUCAUUCUUGCAAAUUUGGUUCUGAGCAAUUUAGCUUCACAGUGUACAGAAUGCAUGGAAACUUCUUUUCGACAACAGUUCUCAAAGCAGUUUGCACAUUAAAGGAAUAAGGUGAGCCCCCAAAGGGGAGAGAAUAUGAAUGAAUGAAUGAAUGAAAGCAAGAGACAACACCAGCAAACAGCCACCAGAAUGGAGCUAGGCCGGACAGGGACAGUUGCUUGCCCCCUACGAAAUGUAAGCGAGACACAACUUUUUAAAAUGCCCUUUUCUCCCAGUUAGCAGAGGUUAAACCAAAUGCUUUAGAUUUUUUUAAAAUCACCAUUACAUUUUGGUCCUGCUGUAGCUUUAACUUCAUUAUAUUACUGCAGCAUGAGAGCUAAUUCUCAUCAAGAGUAGUCACAUUUUGCUGGCAUUUUGGGAACCAUUUACAUGAUCACUUCAGAUACUUUUUGUCUUAAACUGACGGUGAUUCCCCCCCCCCCAAUAAAAUUCUUCUUUCUGGAGGCUGGUAAUCCUGUCGUGUCAUUUGAUCAGCCACACAAAUUCCACUUCACGGAUCUAACCAAAGUGGAAUGGUUCUGACUUCUGGGAAGAAACUCUCAUUCUCUCUAGUAAUAUAUUAUUAUUAUUAUUAUUUUAUUUUACAUUUUAUAUCCCGCUCUUCCUCCAAGGAGCCCAGAGCGAUGUACUACAUACUCAAGUGCCUCCUCACAACAACCCUGGGAAGUAGGUAAGGUUGAGAGAGAAGUGAUUGGCCCAGAGUCACCCAGCAAGUCUCAUGGCUGAAUGGGGAUUUGAACUCGGGUCUCCCCGGUCCUAGUCCAGCACUCUAACCACUACACCACACUGGCAAUAUACAUUGGAGUGUACAGGGUUGUACUAGGAUAUGGAUGUGCAUUUAGUUUUAGUUAGUCAACUUCGUUCUGGUUAUUGCAUUAAUUAAAAGAAAGAAAGCUCAGUUCAAUUUUAGUAUUGCUUCCCAGCAGCCUGCCAUGAGACUUACAUGCAAAACCAUAUGGAGACAUUUAAACUAGAGGGGAAGGAAGAAGGGUGGGGAGGGAAGUAAAAACCAUUGUGAUGAUCAUGCCUGCUACUUUGAAUGGUGCAGCCAGCACAUGAGGCAACAUUAUGACACACACAGAGAAAUGCUGCUGUACAGCAUUGUUUGUUGGAUGGUGCCACAACGUGGCAACACACAGUCGGGGCACAGGAGGCCGAAGCUAUUCACACUAAGGAAUCGCUGGCUUUGAGCUCUUGCCUCACACAGGAGGUCCCAGGAGGCGACAGGGGGUCUCAGCAGGUUGUAGCAAUCCUAGGCUUGUAGCAUUGUAGCAGGGUCUCCACAGGGUGCAGGAGGGAAGGGGGGCCACAGCUGCCAGGCAGGGCCUCUGGACUCUCUGGUGAGCUUGGAGGCCAACAAAAGGUUUCCCGGCAAGAGGCAGCAAGGACCUGGAGUGGAGGCUAGAGUCGGUUAUCAAGGGAACGAGAAAUUACAGCAGGCUAUACUACCAUCCCCACAGCAAGCGGAGAGUUCAGAGAGGCUUGGAUGGGCUGUGGCUGAUGGCUGGGUAAUGCUCUGUUAGCUCGAACAGCCGGAGCCAGUCUCCUGCUUGUUCAUGAGUGGCCUCCUGCACUCACGGAGACUUCUUCCCAGGAGACCCUGUCAAGCUGUCAAAUGGGCGCUCCUGCACCACGCUUGGAGCAAAACCCAUUUCAUCGGUGUCAGUGAUCACAGCAGCUUGGCUGUUCCGCUCUUUCAGAAGCCUUGAGGGAUCCUGUGGGGUCCAGCCAGGGUGACCAGUUCCAGGUGACCAACAGUCCGGGGUCCCUACGGCCCAUACCUUGGGAGCCCUGGCUCAAGGUCUCUGUGAGAUCUUCUAGGGUUGCGGUCUCAGGAUUGGCUACUCUCAAGUCCCCGUUGGGAUCUCAAUGGUGCCUUCCUUUGAUUUGGGCUCUUCUAGAACCAGAUUCUCCACAGAUUCCCAUCGCUUCUUCAAGAAUCACCCCUUCUGGUGGCCCCCCAGAACUAGCCUCAGGGUCCUCACCUUGGUCCACCUUUAUGAACUUGUCAGGGUCCAUCUCCUUUGCUGACUCCCCACUGGGGGAACCUGGAAGGAUCCUGACAUCUUGCCUGCUGCUAAUUCUCAGGCAAAAGUGAAUAGCAAUUUUUUUCCUCCAGAGUCUGCUUCCCAACUCAUACUCCCAUUUCAAACUCAGUCACUUUUGCAAUUCUGGUUUUCUUUCCCCCUUAGUUUAGUUUUCCUCUUUCCUCUUAGUUUUACUUACAUGUUUUACUUUUAUUGCAGUGUUUGAUUUAAUCUUCUCCCUGUCUCAUUCAGUUUGUUGUGUGCAUUCUGUUUCCCUCUCGCCUGUAUUCCCUAAGCUAUUCCAUUCCUAGAAACUAGUGUUCCUGAACCUUCCAUUGCUAAGGUUCCCCAAGCAGCCCUGUGACUUCGGGUGGAUGGCACACUGCCAAAUCCAGGGAGAACACUGCUAUUUCUGCCCCAUACUGUUUCUCUUUGCUGCCAACUCUGUCUAAAUGUGGGCUGCCCGCAGCUAAUCUCCCCCUUUUUCUUCUUCUGUCCGACAUUCUGCUGCUCCUGUGCCCACCAGCAAUCAUCUGAUGUUUCUCUCCCCAUCUUCCUAAUCUGUUUCCCCAGAUACAUAUGACAAGUUGAAGCCCUGCUGCAUCUGAGACAUCAUGCCAGUUACAUGUUAUUCUUCUGCCACCUGACACCUGCAUAUUUGUCUCUCAAACUGUGCUCAGCUCUGGAAGACUGCAAAUUGUUACCCUGGACUUUUACACACAACAUUGGAGGAGAUAGGAGUUAAAGGACUUUAAAAGCCUUGCGUGAAAAACUUCCCUGUGCCUGUUUCCAUUAUACUGAGAACAAGAAAGAGGCCAACACCAAAACUUUGGAUAAAUAAAACUUUGGAUAGGGGCAGAUGAACAGGCAGAUUUGGCUUGCAUCACUGAGACCUGGUUAGAUCCGGAUGGGGGUGUUCCCCUUACUGAGAUGUGUCCACCUGGCUUCUCUGUGUUUCAUCAUCCCCGAGGUCCCGGUCGGGGGGGGCGGUGUCAAAGUGAUUUUUAAAGAAGAUCUUAUGUUGAUCAUGUUGGAGAUGAACUUCCAGUGCAUUGACCUUUUGCACCAACUGUCCUAAUGACCACUAGAGGCAUUGGGAGUAGAGACAAUCUACACUGAAUAGGCUAGGAUAAUCACCGCAUCUGUUUCAACUUUCUCAUCCAGUGGGUGAUUGAAUGAUGGCUUGUUGGUGCGAGUAUUUAACUCCCGUUUCAAGCACCAUUCAUCAAGGAACUUAGCAUGUUGAAGCAGGCAUGUUGGUGAGGUGCUGCCUUUUAGGACAAGGCUUUCCCAGAUUGUAGAUUUUUGGACUUCUGAUGAAGAUUCUUAUGAAACAGUUCAUUGCCUAGGAUGUUUGUCAGCUCUACUUUCAAGAUCACUGUGCUUGGACUGUGAUUCCAGUGUCAUCUUCAAGAUUCUCAUGCUUCAGAUUCCAGCUUCAUUUGCCAGAUUUUUGUGCUCAGCCUUUAGGUGAAGAGUUGCUGGGGUGUAGUGCUACACUUUGCUUGGUUUUUAACCACAUUUCCACAUAGCGGCACCACCCCUGUGCAUGAUGAACUUCAGUGACUGUGGCUUAUUGUACUUAUUAUAUUGUAUGGAGUGUAUUCUGCCCUUACUACUGUUUUUUAUCAUACUUAUCACAGGGGUGCCUGUGAUUUUUUGCCAUUACACUGUCAUACCUUCCACGUUGUGCUCAGUUUUCUAGUGCCUUGGUGUUUUUGCAUGGGUUACUGUUCAUAGUUUUUGACUGGAGAAAGGGCAUUGGCCAUUGUGACCUCAUGCUGAUGUUGCCCUUUGAAGGAUGGAGAGCAAGUUGCCAACUAUCCAUUUGAAGGAGGCACACAUACAAGCAGCUCCUAUGUUCACAUGUUCCCUUGAUUUUCAUAAGAUGGGUGCCCUUUGAGCCCCAAACUAGACAGGGUUUUCCUCCUUUCUCACUCCCCCAUCCUUUGGAAUGCAAUUUUCACCUCUCCUCAGACAAGCAGGCACCAAUAUCUUACAACACUUUUUAAAGUCAUGGGAUGACUGCCCUGCAGGCUGCCAGUGAUGUGCUCUUGCUUUCUCUCGCUCGCUCUCUCUCUCCUAUGCCCAUCUGCAGCCUAUCAGCCAUUUCUCUAAGAAUAGGAGCCACUGAAGAGUCAGCAGACACCAUUUGGGGAUGAGAAAGCAUCACAGAACCAGCUUGAGAAGGGUUAUAGUUAUUCCCACAGAGAAAAAUGGAAAACAAAUAAAAUUAAAAAUGAAAGCUAAA